CCCUUAGAUGUUCUGGGCCGCACGCGUGCUACACUGAGUGGAUCAGCGGGUCAGGUUGCGCGAAAGUGUUUCCUAAUCUUGAAAUCCGCUCGUGAUGGGGAUUGACGGUUGCAAUUUUCCGUCAUGAACGAGGAAUACCUUGUAAGCGCGGGUCAUCAUCCCGCGCUGAAUACGUCCCUGCCCUUUGUACACACCGCCCGUCGCUCCUACCGAUCGAGUGGUCCGGUGAGGCUUUGGGAUCUGAGCGGAAAGAGCGUUUCGCUGUUUCUGCUCGGAAAACUCAGUCGAACCUUAUCAUUUAGAGGAAGGAGAAGUCGUAACA
RNAcentral lists this ribosomal RNA (322 nucleotides) under uncultured eukaryote. Its description in RNAcentral is "partial 18S ribosomal RNA". It matches the Rfam family "Eukaryotic small subunit ribosomal RNA", at positions 1470 to 1796 of the family's 1831-position model. The record is from RNAcentral.